GUGGUGGAGUUUUUUUAAUGGGAUGAGAUGUAGUAUGGUAGAAGAUGAUGAAUAAACAAAAAAAAGAUAAGGAGGAUCCCUUUGCAGGUAACUCGGCUUCAUAUGGACACGUUCGAGAUGAGAAAAAUAGAUGAAGAGGAUUAAGAAAAAUUAAGAAAGAUUUUAUAGAAGAAGAUGAAGGCUUCGUGAAGAAGAUGAAGGAGAUUGGAAGAAAGAGACAAGAGAAGAGAGGAGAAGAGAAGGGAAGAUG
RNAcentral lists this long non-coding RNA (250 nucleotides) under Elaeis guineensis (African oil palm). Its description in RNAcentral is "long non-coding RNA (EGUI_LNC034101)". Lineage: Eukaryota; Viridiplantae; Streptophyta; Magnoliopsida; Arecales; Arecaceae. The record is from RNAcentral.